UUGUGACAAAUUCUGCCUGACUAUGCCACAACAGUGGCUAGAUUAUGUUUAGAAAAAUUGGUUUAUAGUUUCUAACGUUGCCUUUUUAUCUUCUGGUAUUUUGAGGGGAAAUGGACUACUUAAGAUACUCCCAGUUGGUGCUCUGGAACAUCGUGGAAACCGAAGGAGGAGUAGAAGUACAGAAGGAGAAAGCUUUCAUAGAUGGGUCAAAGACUGGAACAACUUACCAUACUUCAGGGAAAAGAGAUGAACAGCUAUUCUGAUGCUUUUGAAAUCACACAGGAUUUGUGGCCAGUGAUGUCAGAAAUUCGGGAUUCUAGGCUCAUUAUUUCAGAGACCCAAGACGGGGUGGAAUGAAGUCCUCCACUUCUAAGAAGAGCAGUGAGUAACUAUACCAGCUUUCUUUAAAUUCAUAUGUCAUGUGAUCUGUGCCAUACCCUAAGGUCUCUGUGUUCAUCUUUUCAAUGACUUUCUGGAGAAUAUCUUCAUUAUGUGUCCUUUUAUUUGGUGAGUGUAUCCACCCUCAUUUCCAAAUUGUAAAUUUUACUUUAUCAGAGUUUUGUGUGGAUUAACAAAUGAAGAACUUUGGAAAAUUGUUUAUUUGUUUUGUUUUGUAUUGCAGUGAAAUACUAUUUUAUGAAUUAAGGUAUGCUUGGAAGUUCCCUUGAAAUUACGAUGGUUUUGUAAUGUUGACCCCAUGAUUAAGAUUAUCAUAG
Lynx canadensis (Canada lynx) is the source of this 716-nucleotide long non-coding RNA. RefSeq lists it as uncharacterized. The record is from RefSeq and is a predicted model, not a curated record. NCBI's taxonomy places the organism in Eukaryota, Metazoa, Chordata, Mammalia, Carnivora, Felidae. The transcript has 3 exons.